AGUGAAUCCUCUGUGAUCAGUUAACUCUAUUUCUAAGCUCCUGGCUGAGCAAACCGAAAUGCAGCCUGAGUUCUGUUGCUUUCUUUUUUCCUCCUUCUCUUCCGCCUCCAUUCGCAAGGGGGGCGGGGUCAGAGUUUGGAAUUCCACGAAGGCCAUCAUUCGAGGUGCACACCUGUCACUGCCAUGUACAGCCCUCUCCCUGAGCCAGCCAGCUCCCAGAUCACACUGCUGCCAGAGAAGAAGGGCAGCAAAGCGGUGUUCUGACAGGGAGCUUGCCAACAGGUCAGAGAAUCGGGCUACUCUCUGUAUCGUACAUUUGUUAAAGAAUUCAGGUGAACCCAGUUCGAAGCUGGCCUGUCAACCCAGCGCCUUUCAGACACGGAUUACUCAGCUCUUUGCAAGAAGAGCACCUUUCCCAGCUAGGGGGAAAGCUAUCACGUACUGUCUAGUUCAUGGCGGCUCCAUUUGAGCAGAAGCAACCGUGCUCACCUUCUGACAUCACACGUUCCGUAGUGAAGUCCUCACCCCCAGUGGACAGGGGACCAGGCUGUGGGGUCAGAGCCCCCGUGAAGGACAGCAGACUUCUGGUAAAAGAGGCCCAGGAAGCUUGCUCACCCCUCCACCGUGUAGGACACGGAGAGAAGGUGCCUUCUUGGCACCAGGAAGUGGCCCCUUGAGGGCACGGCCUGUGCCCACACCUGAGUCCAGCCUUUGCCGUGUACUCCCGGCCCCCAGAGCUGUGAACAAUGGCUUUCUGUUGAAUAACAGCUACUCACCCUAAAGACAGAGGUGGUAUCUUCAUGAGGCAUAGAUUCUCCCCAGAGGUACAGACUGUCAUCUCAGAUCUCUGGCCCAGGCAUCCUCUGCUGCUUGGUGCUUCCCAGGGCAGCCCUGCUCUCCUGUGAGGGUCUGUAGGUGACAUUCUGCUCAUCCUCAGGGCUUCUACCUCACAGUCAUCACAGGCCAGCUGGCUGCUGUCUCUCUAGGGUCUCCUCAGCACUGGGCUGAGGGCUGAGGGCUCCAGAGCUCCUCUGUCAACCCCAAUAUCAGCCUCCGCCCUACCUGUGAAGGGAGAAACACUGGCCCUGCUUUAGGUGGCUCCUCAGGACAGCAGUUAGUACAUCUUACAUCAAAACUAUUGGAAACCUGAGCCUUCACCCUCCCUCGGGGCGGCGAGGAGAGAGACAGGGACUAGGAGGUGUGGGCUGGCAGUGGAGCUUCUCAGCCAUGACAUUCAUAGGUGCCUCCUGUCUCAGUGGGGAGAGUCAUGGGGAGCAUUCCUUCUUUUUAAGAAAAAUAACAUUUCAUGUAAAGCAGUAUUUCUAAAAAUUCUCCAUCUUUAUCCAGUGGCUUCCUGUGCUCCCC
This 1365-nucleotide long non-coding RNA is filed under the name Fukomys damarensis (Damara mole-rat). Its description in RNAcentral is "lncRNA (ENSFDAG00000033462.1)". Lineage: Eukaryota; Metazoa; Chordata; Mammalia; Rodentia; Bathyergidae. The record is from RNAcentral.